Chinchilla lanigera (long-tailed chinchilla) is the source of this 500-nucleotide long non-coding RNA. RefSeq lists it as uncharacterized. NCBI's taxonomy places the organism in Eukaryota, Metazoa, Chordata, Mammalia, Rodentia, Chinchillidae. The transcript is spliced from 3 exons. The record is from RefSeq and is a predicted model, not a curated record.
GUCCUUCCCAGCAAAGACUGACUCAAGCCUGGAAGUGGCCUCAGAGAACAGAGACUUCCAACGUCCUAAGAGUCCACCUCUCCCUUUCAUCACAUGAACGAACAAAAUGACCUCUCCGGCUUUCCUCUUGCCCUCUGGCGGUCAGGAAGCUCAGAGGGAACAGCCGCAUUACAGGCGCCAGAGUUAGAAUAAGGUGCUUCUCCAUUCACGAUGCGGUUGUACCACCACGGAGCUGAAAAAUGGUUAAGCUGAACCAUGAGCAAGAUGUGAGACAAACCAAACUCGGCUUCACCCGCAAGGGCCUGCUGGAUGUGGCGGGGCUGGGAGAGGACAUUCCUCAUCGGGAAACUGCCUCCUGGAACCUACUGCACUCGCGCUGCCUUUUAAUGAGAUGAGCAAGCCCAGGCCAUGUUGGCCGUCCAGGUCCGCCCUGGCCCGAGCCGGCCCGUACAGAGGACCCUGCCCCAGCCUGGCGUGAUUGGUUUGAAAUGGGCAUUUGA